UACGGAGGGUGCAAGCGUUAAUCGGAAUUACUGGGCGUAAAGCGUGCGCAGGCGGUUUGUUAAGUCCGUUGUGAAAGCCCCGAGCUCAACUUGGGAAUUGCAGUGGAUACUGGCAGGCUGGAGUACGGUAGAGGAAGGUGGAAUUCCCGGUGUAGCAGUGAAAUGCGUAGAUAUCUGGAGGAACACCGGUGGCGAAGGCGGCAUUCUGGACCAUUACUGACGCUGAGGAGCGAAAGCCAGGGGAGCAAACGGG
RNAcentral lists this ribosomal RNA (253 nucleotides) under uncultured bacterium. RNAcentral's name for it is "partial 16S ribosomal RNA". It matches the Rfam family "Bacterial small subunit ribosomal RNA", at positions 524 to 776 of the family's 1533-position model. The record is from RNAcentral.